RNAcentral lists this ribosomal RNA (1389 nucleotides) under metagenome. RNAcentral's name for it is "bacterial LSU rRNA". It matches the Rfam family "Bacterial large subunit ribosomal RNA", at positions 1505 to 2910 of the family's 2925-position model. The record is from RNAcentral.
CCCAGGUUAAAGGGUGUAGUUAUAUACAUGGGUUAACAGCUUGUGUAUGAUGAACCUGAUAGUACCGUGAGGCUUCGGCUGAGCGGAUAGUGUUCCUAAUCAGACUUCCAAGAAAAUCCUCUAAGCUUCAGACAUGUGGUGCCCGUACCACAAACCGACACAGGUAGUCGAGGAGAGAAUCCUAAGGUGCUCGAGUGAUCCGUGGCUAAGGAACUAGGCAAAUUGAACCUGUAACUUCGGGAUAAAGGUUCCCCUGUUUAUCAAUGGGGGCGCAGAGAAAUGGCCCUGGCGACUGUUUAACAAAAACACAAGGCUUUGCGAAAUUGAAAGAUGAAGUAUAAGGCCUGACACCUGCCCGGUGCCGGAAGGUUAAGAGGGGGAGUCAUUCUCAGCAAUGGGAAGAAGCUCUGAAUCGAAGCCCCGGUAAACGGCGGCCGUAACCAUAACGGUCCUAAGGUAGCGAAAUUCCUUGUCGGGUAAGUUCCGACCUGCACGAAUGGUGUAACGAUCUGGGCACUGUCUCAGCCACGAGCUCGGUGAAAUUGUAGUUCCGGUGAAGAUGCCGGAUACCCGCAACGGGACGGAAAGACCCCGUGAACCUUUACUAUAGCUUAACAUUGAUUUUGGGUAAGUGAUGUGUAGGAUAGGUCGGAGACUGUGAACCGGUUUCGCCAGGAAUCGGGGAGUCAACGUUGAAAUACGACCCUUCAUUUACCUGGAAUCUAAUCCGUCAACCGACGGAGACAUUGUUUGGUGGGUAGUUUGACUGGGGUGGUCGCCUCCAAAAGAGUAACGGAGGCUCCUCAAGGUGCCCUCAGCACGAUUGGUAACCGUGCGGAGAGUGUAAUGGCACAAGGGCGCUUGACUGUGAGACUGACAAGUCGAUCAGGUACGAAAGUAGAGCAUAGUGAUCCGGUGGUUCCGUAUGGAAGGGCCAUCGCUCAAAGGAUAAAAGGUACUCCGGGGAUAACAGGCUGAUCGCCGCCAAGAGCUCAUAUCGACGCGGCGGUUUGGCACCUCGAUGUCGGCUCGUCACAUCCUGGGGCUGAAGAAGGUCCCAGGGUUCGGCUGUUCGCCGAUUAAAGUGGCACGCGAGCUGGGUUCAGAACGUCGUGAGACAGUUCGGUCUCUAUCUGUUGUGGGCGCUGGAGAUUUGAGAGAAACUGAUACUAGUACGAGAGGACCGUGUUGGACAGACCGCUAGUGUACCUGUUGUGGCGCCAGCUGCAUCGCAGGGUAGCUAUGUUUGGAACAGAUAAGCACUGAAAGCAUCUAAGUGCGAAGCUCGUCUCAAGAUGAGAUCUCCCUUAAGGGUCGUUGUAGACUACGACGUUGAUAGGCUGCAGGUGUAAAGGUGGCAACAUCAAAGCUGAGCAGUACUAAUUACCC